AGCGAAUGCUGGCGGUAGGCCUAACACAUGCAAGUCGAACGGCAGCACAGUAAGAGCUUGCUCUUACGGGUGGCGAGUGGCGGACGGGUGAGGAAUACAUCGGAAUCUACUUUUUCGUGGGGGAUAACGUAGGGAAACUUACGCUAAUACCGCAUACGACCUACGGGUGAAAGCAGGGGAUCUUCGGACCUUGCGCGAUUGAAUGAGCCGAUGUCGGAUUAGCUAGUUGGCGGGGUAAAGGCCCACCAAGGCGACGAUCCGUAGCUGGUCUGAGAGGAUGAUCAGCCACACUGGAACUGAGACACGGUCCAGACUCCUACGGGAGGCAGCAGUGGGGAAUAUUGGACAAUGGGCGCAAGCCUGAUCCAGCCAUACCGCGUGGGUGAAGAAGGCCUUCGGGUUGUAAAGCCCUUUUGUUGGGAAAGAAAAGCAGCAGGUUAAUACCCCGCUGUUCUGACGGUACCCAAAGAAUAAGCACCGGCUAACUUCGUG
Molecule: ribosomal RNA, 492 nt
Filed under: uncultured bacterium
Lineage: Bacteria
Description: partial 16S ribosomal RNA
Rfam family: Bacterial small subunit ribosomal RNA
Source: RNAcentral